GAGUUUAGCUUGUGUCUUAAUUUCUUACGCGCCAUUGGAUUUUCGACUCAACUUUUAUGUCAUUGUUAUGCAGUGAGAUCCUUGAUGGGAGAAAGGGUUCAGAAAUCUCUUCUCAGGGAUCUGCAACAGCCAGAAAAUCCCAAGAUGCAGCUGUAGGUGCCCUUGUUCACAUGCUGAGAACUGCUCCUCCUUUGCGCCAAGAUUCUAGCUGUUAUACCUCGAAUAGCAUAAAGACUGAACUGGAUGGAGAACUUAGCACUGCAUCUGGAUUUUUCAUUAGUAGAAAGGCAUCCGAUGCGUUGGAGGAGCUCAAAACUUAUAAAGAUUUGAAAGAUCUACUGUUGUCCAAGAGCGCAACCCGUUCAGUCAGUGAGGGUUGAAUUUAAACCUGAUGUAUCCCACUUACAAAAGUUAGCUCAAAAUGGAUGAUGGUAGUUGAUAAUUCUCCCUAAUGUUAAUG
Molecule: unclassified non-coding RNA, 460 nt
Filed under: Hevea brasiliensis (rubber tree)
Lineage: Eukaryota; Viridiplantae; Streptophyta; Magnoliopsida; Malpighiales; Euphorbiaceae
Source: RNAcentral